Molecule: long non-coding RNA, 170 nt
Organism: Homarus americanus (American lobster)
Lineage: Eukaryota; Metazoa; Arthropoda; Malacostraca; Decapoda; Nephropidae
Exons: 3
Source: RefSeq, a predicted model, not a curated record
GUGGGGCCUGAGGCAAUGCAGGUGUAGUAGGUGUGGGGCAUGAUACAAUGCAGACGUAGUAGGUGUGGGGCCUGAGGCAAUGCAGGUGUAGUAGGUGUGGGGCCUGAGGCAAUGCAGGUGUAGUAGGUGUGGGGCAUGAUACAAUGCAGGUGUAGUAGGUGUGGAGCCUG